Molecule: ribosomal RNA, 496 nt
Filed under: uncultured bacterium
Lineage: Bacteria
Description: partial 16S ribosomal RNA
Rfam family: Bacterial small subunit ribosomal RNA
Source: RNAcentral
GAUGAACGCUGGCGGCGUGCCUAAUACAUGCCAGUCGAGCGAACAGACGAGGAGCUUGCUCCUCUGACGUUAGCGGCGGACGGGUGAGUAACACGUGGAUAACCUACCUAUAAGACUGGGAUAACUUCGGGAAACCGGAGCUAAUACCGGAUAAUAUAUUGAACCGCAUGGUUCAAUAGUGAAAGACGGUUUUGCUGUCACUUAUAGAUGUAUCCGCGCCGCAUUAGCUAGUUGGUAAGGUAACGGCUUACCAAGGCGACGAUGCGUAGCCGACCUGAGAGGGUGAUCGGCCACACUGGAACUGAGACACGGUCCAGACUCCUACGGGAGGCAGCAGUAGGGAAUCUUCCGCAAUGGGCGAAAGCCUGACGGAGCAACGCCGCGUGAGUGAUGAAGGUCUUCGGAUCGUAAAACUCUGUUAUUAGGGAAGAACAAAUGUGUAAGUAACUAUGCACGUCUUGACGGUACCUAAGCAGAAAGCCACGGCUAACUACGU